Molecule: ribosomal RNA, 671 nt
Filed under: uncultured bacterium
Lineage: Bacteria
Description: bacterial SSU rRNA
Rfam family: Bacterial small subunit ribosomal RNA
Source: RNAcentral
GGAAACAGGUGCUAAUACCGUAUAACACUAUUUUCCGCAUGGAAGAAAGUUGAAAGGCGCUUUUGCGUCACUGAUGGAUGGACCCGCGGUGCAUUAGCUAGUUGGUGAGGUAACGGCUCACCAAGGCCACGAUGCAUAGCCGACCUGAGAGGGUGAUCGGCCACACUGGGACUGAGACACGGCCCAGACUCCUACGGGAGGCAGCAGUAGGGAAUCUUCGGCAAUGGACGAAAGCCUGACCGAGCAACGCCGCGUGAGUGAAGAAGGUUUUCGGAUCGUAAAACUCUGUUGUUAGAGAAGAACAAGGAUGAGAGUAAAAUGUUCAUCCCUUGACGGUAUCUAACCAGAAAGCCACGGCUAACUACGUGCCAGCAGCCGCGGUAAUACGUAGGUGGCAAGCGUUGUCCGGAUUUAUUGGGCGUAAAGCGAGCGCAGGCGGUUUCUUAAGUCUGAUGUGAAAGCCCCCGGCUCAACCGGGGAGGGUCAUUGGAAACUGGGAGACUUGAGUGCAGAAGAGGAGAGUGGAAUUCCAUGUGUAGCGGUGAAAUGCGUAGAUAUAUGGAGGAACACCAGUGGCGAAGGCGGCUCUCUGGUCUGUAACUGACGCUGAGGCUCGAAAGCGUGGGGAGCGAACAGGAUUAGAUACCCUGGUAGUCCACGCCGUAAACGAU